UACGAAGGUGGCUAGCGUUGUUCGGAAUUACUGGGCGUAAAGCGCACGUAGGCGGACUUUCAAGUCAGGGGUGAAAUCCCGGGGCUCAACCUCGGAACUGCCUUUGAUACUGUUAGUCUUGAGCUCGGAAGAGGUGGGUGGAAUUCCUAGUGUAGAGGUGAAAUUCAUAGAUAUUAGGAAGAACACCGGUGGCGAAGGCGGCCCACUGGUCCGAUGCUGACGCUGAGGUGCGAAAGCGUGGGGAGCAAACAGG
RNAcentral lists this ribosomal RNA (253 nucleotides) under uncultured bacterium. Its description in RNAcentral is "partial 16S ribosomal RNA". It matches the Rfam family "Bacterial small subunit ribosomal RNA", at positions 524 to 776 of the family's 1533-position model. The record is from RNAcentral.